CCUACGGGCGGCAGCAGUGGGGAAUAUUGGACAAUGGGGGCAACCCUGAUCCAGCCAUGCCGCGUGUGUGAAGAAGGCCCUCGGGUGGUAAAGCACUUUCAGUGAGGAAGAACGCCUGGUGGUUAAUACCCAUCAGGAAAGACAUCACUCACAGAAGAAGCACCGGCUAACUCCGUGCCAGCAGCCGCGGUAAUACGGAGGGUGCGAGCGUUAAUCGGAAUUACUGGGCGUAAAGCGCGCGUAGGUGGCUUGAUAAGCCGGUUGUGAAAGCCCCGGGCUCAACCUGGGAACGGCAUCCGGAACUGUCAAGCUAGAGUGCAGGAGAGGAAGGUAGAAUUCCCGGUGUAGCGGUGAAAUGCGUAGAGAUCGGGAGGAAUACCAGUGGCGAAGGCGGCCUUCUGGACUGACACUGACACUGAGGUGCGAAAGCGUGGGUAGCAAACAGGAUUAGAUACCCCAGUAGUC
Molecule: ribosomal RNA, 465 nt
Filed under: Vreelandella stevensii
Lineage: Bacteria; Pseudomonadati; Pseudomonadota; Gammaproteobacteria; Oceanospirillales; Halomonadaceae
Description: partial 16S ribosomal RNA
Rfam family: Bacterial small subunit ribosomal RNA
Source: RNAcentral